RNAcentral lists this ribosomal RNA (320 nucleotides) under uncultured bacterium. RNAcentral describes it as "bacterial SSU rRNA". It matches the Rfam family "Bacterial small subunit ribosomal RNA", at positions 773 to 1085 of the family's 1533-position model. The record is from RNAcentral.
ACGCAAUAGAUACCCGGGUAGUCCUGGCUGUAAACGAUGAGCAUUAGCUGGGAGGGACGUAUGUCCUUCCCAAACGGAGCGAAAAAAGUGUUAAGUGCUCCGCCUGGGGAGUAUAGUCGCAAGGCUGAAACUCAAAGGAAUUGACGGGGGCUCACACAAGCGGUGGAGCAUGUGGCUCAAUUCGAGGCAACGCGAAGAACCUUAUCCUGGGCUUGACAUGGUCGGAUUAGUUCCGUGAAAGCGGAAUGACACCUUCGGUGGAACGAUCACAGGUGCUGCAUGGCUGUCGUCAGCUCGUGUCGUGAGAUGUCGGGUUUAGU